RNAcentral lists this long non-coding RNA (1293 nucleotides) under Anas platyrhynchos platyrhynchos (common mallard). RNAcentral's name for it is "lncRNA (ENSAPLG00000023693.1)". Lineage: Eukaryota; Metazoa; Chordata; Aves; Anseriformes; Anatidae. The record is from RNAcentral.
UUUCCUUUUCUGCUACCUCAUCAUCUGGCAAAUUCUUAUCUAGGGUGAAACAUAGUUAUCCAUAAAUCUCUUUUUCCUAUCAAGACUUUGCCCCGACAUCCUUUCUAAGAUUGUAAGAUGGUUUAUAUACACAUGAAUGUGUAGAUAAUUUUUCUACUACACUUGGUAAAUAUCAGAAUAUAGUGCAUAUUUUUCUCCAGACUAUGUCGUAAUAUCAGAUAGCAGUCUCACUCUAUUACUGGGUAUACUACAACCAACAUAACAUUUCUUCAGCUGCUUCAAUAAAGGUAUAGAAAGAAGUGACAUCUAUAGGGAAUUAUAUGAGAAAGUAAUGUCCUUUCCUGAUAACACGAAUGCAGUAACACCCAAACUAAAAGCUCUACUGCAAAUUUGCAUUUUCUCAGUUAGAACACUUAAGAAGCUACUGUGAGAUUAUGACCUUGCGAAAUAAUGAUCUGGAAUGUCUUCCCUCUGCUGUUAUGCCCCACUGAGUGCUACUGGUUUUCAUAGUUAAUCAUAAACUCUUGCCCUAAGUUAAUUGAUGUCCUCAUUAUGUCAUACUUAACUGCAGCUGAGAAGCGUCUUUAGCCAUUAAUUUUUUUAUUUUUUUUUCCUAGCAGUUAGCCUUACCGCAUCAAGCUGUGGAAAGUGUGAAGAAAGGAUCUCAAAAACAAAUUGACUGUCAGUGUGACCAUUAUAUCACCACUUAAAUUUGCAAGUACCAGAAGAAAAAGUUCCCAUCACCUUACAUAUUUCUCACUCUGCAAAUUUCAUGAAUUUUCUGUAAUAAUCACCAAAGAAGUAACUGCCUACUGGUGACAAUCAAGAGCUACAGUCUGGGGUUUUGCACCCUUCUGGAAAUGCCAAAGAACUAAUGUUUUCACUUAAAACUUGGGAAUCUCAGAGAUAUUGCUCUGAUGAUAAAGCUUCAGAUCCUCACUCUACAGCUCUUCUGAAGGACCAGGUUUCAUGUUUACAGUACGAAGAAGGACAUCUUGUAAAGGCACCUUUUCAUGUGUGGACUGACCAUAAAAAUGUAGGUAGGGGCUUCUUUUCCACCGUGGGUGCCCCUGUGGCAUCCAGAAAUGUCUCGCGGCUCUGUUAUCGAGUGGAGCUGUUUAAGAAAUAAAAAAAAUCCCCAAAUACAACUGACUCCUACUGGGUUACCUCAGACCAGACACUAUUUCAUCGUGUGGGACCAAAUGUCAAGCUAGACAAAGAAGGCAAGUAUACAGUGAGUCGGGCUAUUGUGGAGAUGGAGAGGGAAUAAAAACAAUGUGGACAAUAGUGACA